CCCUCACAAAUCCGAUCAAUUUAUUCUCAUGCAGUUUAUUACAAAUGAUUAGAACUGUCAAAGCUUAAUGCAGCUGAAGAAAUAACAUCCGUCCAGCUGUGCUGGGCUGUCAAUACUGCAAACGUUUUGUUUGAAUACUCAAUAACGUAUAGUUAAUUUACAGUACAGUAUAAUAAGGUUUAAAGUAUAAUUCACUUGAAGAACAAUACCGACGUAAUUAUACAGAACAGUCAUUUUGCCUGUUGAUUUAACAGAAAUAUGCUUUACAUGUCAUUUUGUUCUAGGCAGCAGGGAGCAUACAGAGGAGUUGAUAAAACUCCGUGGGAAAAAUAACCACCUCUUUACUGGGGCCAAGAACACUGCCGCAGUCGGAUGGAGAACAAUCCUGCAAAAAACGGGGCUGGAGGGUGAAGUUGAGCCACAACAGGCCAAAAAAAAGUGGGACAACUUGAAAAAAAAUACAAAGAAUGCAAAGAUCCAGUGACAGGGCAGGGGGUCAGUGGGAAGCCUACUGCUGCCACCUGGCCAUGGUUUGUCCUCAGGUUCUGUGUUGCUGUUAUUGUUAAAUUAAAUUAUUAAAUUGUUUAUAAAAGUUA
Molecule: long non-coding RNA, 596 nt
Organism: Fundulus heteroclitus (mummichog)
Lineage: Eukaryota; Metazoa; Chordata; Actinopteri; Cyprinodontiformes; Fundulidae
Exons: 3
Source: RefSeq, a predicted model, not a curated record